UGGGAAUGGAGUUUGCGAUACUGCUGUACACCUAUGAGAAACUUAGGAGUCCAGUGAUAUUUUGGCAAAGGCAGAGUAGAGAAACUUGUACUAUAAGCUGUUCAUGCUGUAGCUGUCCUGUGAAUAUAUAGAGAUUGUCAACCUCCAAGGUUGCUAUGUUUUUCAGCAAUCAUUCUGUGCCAAGCAACAUGAUAGAGGGUUGUUACAUUCAGAAUCUGUGUCCUAGGUGAUCCAUACUGUAUAACAGGAGUCCCUGAAUAGUAUAGCAAGACAGCAGAUGACAGCGGCUGCUUUAGUUUGGCUCAUCUUAGUCCCUUAAUGGUUCAGUUUCUCAUGUCUUUCUUUCCCUGCCAAACUUAACCGUAAUAGUAACAUAAACAUAAUGCAGAAUUUCUGAUGUUUAUAAGCAGUCCAGUAAUUAAGCUACCUCUGGUUUUAGAAUUGCUAGGUGCUUCAGAGUAGCCCGGUGGGUCUCUCUGAGACAUCAGCAUCAUUGUUACCAGAUGGCAAUAAAUCUUUUCUUUCUGUCUGAGACUCUGAGCCCAGUCUCCGAGGACUCAGCUGCUCAGCCUGCUGCGGCUGUAGCUUGUCUGAGACAUUUUGGGGAAACACUGCCAAUUCAGUGCCAUUUAUCUCCCUCCUUUCUGGGAGCUGUAGAAGGUGUUGCUUAUUACUUCACAGUAUAUGUCAGUUGGAGUGACAGCCUCAUAAGACCAGGAGGAUACCUCUUGUGUAUCACCUCUGUUUGUGACCAUUGUUUCUCAUUGUGGGAUAUACAGCUUCAUUUCUGUGAAGAUUCAAUCUCACAUACCACAGAGGACACAGACCUUGGUCCCCUUGGAGCACCAGCAGGACAAGAAAGAGAUUGUUGGCCUAUAUCGACUGUAAGUGCAGUGUUGGAUGACUAUCUCAGAUGUGGACGCCUCUAAGGUCAAUAUUAUCAUCUGGUCAGAUGAGUUCCUUCCUCUCAUGAACAAAUAAAAUAGCACUCAUUUAAAUUUCCUUAUUCA
This is a long non-coding RNA of Anser brachyrhynchus (Pink-footed goose), 1010 nucleotides long. NCBI's taxonomy places the organism in Eukaryota, Metazoa, Chordata, Aves, Anseriformes, Anatidae. The record is from Ensembl.